UGGGGUAUAUUGGACAAUGGGCGCAAGCCUGAUCCAGCCAUGUCGUGUGAGUGAUGAAGGCGCUAGGGUUGUAAAGCUCUUUUACCGGGGAAGAUAAUGACGGUAACCGGAGAAGAAGCCCCGGCUAACUUCGUGCUAGCAGCCGCGGUAAUACGAAGGGGGCUAGCGUUGUUCGGAUUUACUGGGCGUAAAGCGCACGUAGGCGGACUUUUAAGUCAGAGGUGAAAUCCCGGGGCUCAACCCCGGAACUGCCUUUGUUACUGGAAGUCUUGAGUAUGGUAGAGGUGAGUGGAGAUCCGAGUGUAGAGGUGAAAUUCGUAGAUAUUCGGGGGAACACCAGUGGCGAAGGCGGCUCACUGGACCAUUACUGACGCUGAGGUGCGAAAGCGUGGGGAGCAAACAGG
This 404-nucleotide ribosomal RNA is filed under the name Actinomycetes bacterium. Its description in RNAcentral is "Actinobacteria bacterium partial 16S ribosomal RNA". It matches the Rfam family "Bacterial small subunit ribosomal RNA", at positions 355 to 776 of the family's 1533-position model. Lineage: Bacteria; Bacillati; Actinomycetota; Actinomycetes. The record is from RNAcentral.